Molecule: ribosomal RNA, 253 nt
Filed under: uncultured bacterium
Lineage: Bacteria
Description: partial 16S ribosomal RNA
Rfam family: Bacterial small subunit ribosomal RNA
Source: RNAcentral
GACGUAGGGCGCGAGCGUUGUCCGGAUUUACUGGGCGUAAAGCGCACGUAGGCGGCUUUGUAAGUUAGAGGUGAAAGCCCGGGGCUCAACUCCGGAAUUGCCUUUAAGACUGCAUCGCUAGAAUUGUGGAGAGGUAAGUGGAAUUCCGAGUGUAGAGGUGAAAUUCGUAGAUAUUCGGAAGAACACCAGUGGCGAAGGCGACUUACUGGACACAUAUUGACGCUGAGGUGCGAAAGCGUGGGGAGCAAACAGG